AUAACGUCCGGAAACGGGCGCUAAUACCGCAUACGUCCUGAGGGAGAAAGUGGGGGAUCUUCGGACCUCACGCUAUCAGAUGAGCCUAGGUCGGAUUAGCUAGUUGGUGGGGUAAAGGCCUACCAAGGCGACGAUCCGUAACUGGUCUGAGAGGAUGAUCAGUCACACUGGAACUGAGACACGGUCCAGACUCCUACGGGAGGCAGCAGUGGGGAAUAUCGGACAAUGGGCGAAAGCCUGAUCCAGCCAUGCCGCGUGUGUGAAGAAGGUCUUCGGAUUGUAAAGCACUUUAAGUUGGGAGGAAGGGCAGUAAGUUAAUACCUUGCUGUUUUGACGUUACCAACAGAAUAAGCACCGGCUAACUUCGUGCCAGCAGCCGCGGUAAUACGAAGGGUGCAAGCGUUAAUCGGAAUUACUGGGCGUAAAGCGCGCGUAGGUGGUUCAGCAAGUUGGAUGUGAAAUCCCCGGGCUCAACCUGGGAACUGCAUCCAAAACUACUGAGCUAGAGUACGGUAGAGGGUGGUGGAAUUUCCUGUGUAGCGGUGAAAUGCGUAGAUAUAGGAAGGAACACCAGUGGCGAAGGCGACCACCUGGACUGAUACUGACACUGAGGUGCGAAAGCGUGGGGAGCAAACAGG
This 638-nucleotide ribosomal RNA is filed under the name uncultured Pseudomonadaceae bacterium. RNAcentral's name for it is "SSU rRNA". It matches the Rfam family "Bacterial small subunit ribosomal RNA", at positions 143 to 776 of the family's 1533-position model. The record is from RNAcentral. Lineage: Bacteria; Pseudomonadati; Pseudomonadota; Gammaproteobacteria; Pseudomonadales; Pseudomonadaceae.